CGUAGGGGGCAAGCGUUAUCCGGAAUUAUUGGGCGUAAAGAGUGCGUAGGUGGUUUUGUAAGCGCGAGGUGAAAGGCAAUAGCUCAACUAUUGUAAGCCUUGUGAACUGCAAGACUUGAGUGCAGGAGAGGAAAGUGGAAUUCCUAGUGUAGCGGUGAAAUGCGUAGAUAUUAGGAGGAACACCAGUGGCGAAGGCGACUUUCUGGACUGUAACUGACACUGAGGCACGAAAGCGUGGGGAGCAAACAGGAUUAGAUACCCUGGUAGUCCACGCCGUAAACGAUGAGCACUAGGUGUCGGGGCCGCAAGGUUUCGGUGCCGCAGUUAACGCAUUAAGUGCUCCGCCUGGGGAGUACGCACGCAAGUGUG
This 369-nucleotide ribosomal RNA is filed under the name uncultured organism. Its description in RNAcentral is "bacterial SSU rRNA". It matches the Rfam family "Bacterial small subunit ribosomal RNA", at positions 526 to 896 of the family's 1533-position model. The record is from RNAcentral.